UACGUAGGGUGCAAGCGUUGUCCGGAAUUAUUGGGCGUAAAGAGCUCGUAGGUGGCCUGUCGCGUCGGCUGUGAAAACUCGGGGGCUCAACUCCGAGCUUGCAGUCGAUACGGGCAGGCUAGAGUUCGGCAGGGGAGACUGGAAUUCCUGGUGUAGCGGUGAAAUGCGCAGAUAUCAGGAGGAACACCGGUGGCGAAGGCGGGUCUCUGGGCCGAUACUGACGCUGAGGAGCGAAAGCGUGGGGAGCGAACAGG
Molecule: ribosomal RNA, 254 nt
Filed under: uncultured bacterium
Lineage: Bacteria
Description: partial 16S ribosomal RNA
Rfam family: Bacterial small subunit ribosomal RNA
Source: RNAcentral